AGAGGUGGAGAACCUAUUCAAUUUAGGAUUACAAUGCAAUACGGUCUUUCUCUAAUACAAUACUCUUGAUCACAUUGUUUGGAUUGAUAGUUUAUUCAUGUCUACUAUCCAAUGUGAUUCGUGUGCUUAUAUGAUUACCUUGAAUGUGAUUUGGAACGACUUCCUAAAUAUCAUUCAUACUCUGGCCAGAGAUUCUUAAUCAUAUCAUAGAGUAUUCUCCCUCAAACGGUUUGAAGGUUAGAGAUCCCUUGUUGCGCAUUCACUUGCCUCCAUGGCUAAGUGGCUUAACCCCAACUAUGCCGUGGACACCCUCUGACGGGGUGACUUUGACAUAGUCAAAGAUCAAGGACCUAACCACAAGACAACUAUGAUGCCUCAGGUCAAAUGACUACUUUGCAUUAUCCCAACCAUGAGUUCUCAUGUGACAUGAAUAUGAGAACUCUUCGUUGAUCGUGUUCAGUGAACUUAUUCUCUAUUGAGCACCUACGUACUUGUCUUGAUGUCACACACACCAAUGACUCGAGACUAGUCACUCUCCAUGAGAGAAGACACAGCACGUACUGAUCUUAACGGACUGUCAAUGCCCAAUUGGCAAUCCUAUGAUCAGGAACGUUUAGGAUGUGUCUACGAAAGAAUGGUCUCAUGAAUCUAACUUCUUUAGAUCGCAUUCUCCCAAUCACAUAUUCCUUGGACUUAUCGUUUAAGCGUAUAACAUUUAUAUGAAACGGCUCAAACAAUAAUCUUUGCCCUUGAUAUUAAACUAGAUUAGUUUAACAUCUGAAAUGUCCAUAAAGUAUCAUCAUAUGAUUGGUUUUAGGGCACAUUUCCAACAAUCUCCCACUUGCACUAGAGCCAAUCAGCUUGGUCAUCAGUGAUGAUACCUCUUCUGUAGUCAUUUCAAAAAUGGCUGAGUAGUAGGCCUAGACAAUGGAUAUCUAUAUGUUAUCCAUAGAAGCAACCUUGAGAAUAACGACGUCACCAUUAUACAUGAUUCUCAAUCAUGUGGUUCAGUCUCUCAUUUGAGUUCGAAUCGUGAUGGGACCUUGAUUCCCUAGCUUGAGCUAUCGCCCCAUUAGUGUCAUAGUGUCAGUACACUAGAGACACUUUCUAGUUGGAACCGAAUAGAGAGUUCAUAAAUGAACUUUUCCAUCCAAACAACAUUGUUGUAAGCUUCUAUAUGGCAAUAUAUUUUGCAUUCUUAAUGGAACACACUAAAGUCAUUACUUUUAAUGUUUCCAUCCAAAUAUCUCUUUUAGUCAUAAUAAAGGGAUAUCUGAUUAUCUCUUCAUUCAUAAUGAAGAAACAUCCAAUGAUGGAUUAGAUUCAUAAUCUAAUACAUUUACGCUUCCUUAACGUUACUCUAAUUCUUCCUCAUUCUUUGAGGAAUCUAUCCUUUAGUAUUUCUUAAAUACUUAAGGACUCACUUGACAGUUGCCAUGGUUCUGAUCUUGGGCUUGCAUUGAUAUUGUCUUGUACCGAUCUAGGUACAAUUCAUAUCAAUGUUUUUCAUACAAUAUGAAAUUCAUAAAUCACCUUUCUGCGUAUGCAUAAAGGAUUCUAUUUACGCAUUAUUUCUUUGGGAGUCAAAAGGCACGUUCCCUUUGAGAAGGGCAACUUGCUAGUCUCACUAGAGUCGUCCUUCUAAUUGAAGUUUAUCAUCAUAUGAGAAACUUCCUAGCAUCUCUUGUCUAUUAUUAGGGCUUGAUAUAAUCCAAUUAUAUCCUAAAAUCUAUCAAUAUAGAUUUCCAUCCCAUGUAUAUAUAUUAUGUCUCCCAUAUACAUUCUAUCUUCAUAUAAUGUUUUAAAGUCAUAACUUUAACGAAGAAGUAUUCUUUUCAUUUCCAAAAUCAAUAUAUCAUAUAUUUGUAUAUAUAUAUAUAUAUAUUCAAAUUUAGGAACAUGAUUAACUCCCACUAAUCUUUUGUAAACCUAGUAAACAAAAGAUUCAUUUACAUCUUUAUGAGAAAUCAAACGUUUUGAUCUUUCUCUCAUAAGACGUUUACAGCUCCCACUAGCUUGCUAAGAUCCAUGAUGGUUGGAUCUCUACAACUUACAUGUCUUGUGAUUCAUAGUUUUAGACAUAUAUUAUCAAGACUAUCUUAAUAAUGGUUUCGGAAACCUAUAUUAUGUCCAAACAUUGAAUCACCAUUUAGUUGUAGCUAGCAAUCUUCGAAUUAAUUGAAACCAAGACUAUCUCAAAGAUGGUUUCUUCAAAGUCAACCAUUCUCUUUGAUUGUAGUCACCUUAAGCUACCAAUUAGCUUAUGAAGGUUUCAUUAUUUCGGGUCAAAUGGUACUUUACCAUUUCCUUGAGUAUAUAUCAUAUAUACACUCAAUGUAGUCAUAAGGAUUUUCAUUCUUAUUUGUUUCGAUUUAAGAGGUGUAACUCUAUGACAUAGUCAUAAAGUUCAAACCAUUCAACUGAAACAGUUUAUAAAUCCUUCUCGACUACCUUGGAGCUUGUGGUAUAGGAACUAGGUUGUUAUAUUUGUUGAUUAUUAUCUUGUCUCUCAAAGAACCCAUUCUUUGAGUUCUAUCUCUCAUUCAUUUGCACUUAGGCAAAUCAUAUUGUUAGAUUACAAUGAACUACCCAACAAAACAACAUUUGUUAGUUGGUUUAUAGAAGCGAUAUCCAAAAGUUAAUUUAAGGAUAUCCCACAAGAUUGUUAUCAAACAAAUAUUGCUUAUUAGCACACAACCCCAAAUCUUAACAUGCUUGAGAUUUGUCUUUCUUUCCAACUACAUCUUAUGGAGUCAUGAAAAUUUUGGAAGAUCUUCUAAUUGACAAUCAUAUUGUUUUUAGAAGUAUAUAUCCUAUAUAUGGGUAAUAGAUAACAUCUAAUGAACUGAAUCUUAUUCGAGUUCGUUCUUCUCCUAAUGGAGAAAUUCAUUAUCUUAUGAUGCUUCUUUCCUUGAUAUUUUUCAAGGAAACUGUUCUAAAGUGUUAUCUUUCCUUGGAUCAAAUCUAAGGAGGCAAAUACUUUAGACGUCUUACUCAUCAACUUACAUUUCUUGAAUUCUUUGAAACCUUUUGCAAAGUAUUCGGACUUGUGUUUAUUCAAAAUAAACUAUAGUCCAACCGAGAGUGAUCUUCGGUGAAUGUCAUACAACAUGAGUAGUAUUAUGUUGUGGACAAGUGCCACUAACCUCUAAGUGAAUUAACCUCAACAACUUUGUGAUUCUUUCUUCUUUCCAAAAGAAUAAAGAUUCGAACAUUUCGCCUCUAUACAAUUUUAAUAAGAAGGUGUUGGAUUCGGAUCUAACGAUCUAAAGCAUCCAUCUAUGACCAACUCGUAAUUUAUGUUUUAGAGGUAUCACAAUUUUAGUUGGGAUUAGUCACUACCUUGCAACCUUUUGGGUUUUAAGCAUCGUUAUAUUCUAAACAGUUAACACUACCAUAUCAUCUCUACUAUAGAGACAAUCAAUUAGAUUACUAUAAUCCAAUCAUUGACUAAUAAAGAACAAUGUUUUGUCAAACAAAACAUUCAUCCAUCUCUACUAUAGUGACGGAAUUAAGUUCCUUAAAAUUGGAAUGUAAAGACAAUCUUUGGUUUUUCCAAUUUCUUUGGUAGUUCAUAUGAGGAAGUAAGUACUAUCUGCUGUCGCAGAGAUCUUUAUUUUAUUCACGUUCCGAAUGUGAAGCACCUUUUUCUUCUCUCAUAUAUCUUCUACUUCUUACUAGUCACACUUUUACAACGAUUGUAAAACAUAGUUACUAAUACGGAAUCAAGCAUUCAAGUAGAAGAACCAACUGUUUUGAACUAUUCAAGAACAAUUUACAACACCUUCGAAAGGUGUGUUCUUGACACUUGCAAGACAAUUCUUGCAAAUACCCCUUCCAAUGUCCAUCCUUUCAUAAAGAAAGUUUGUUCCCUUGGAGUUAUUUCGCUUUCUUCAUUUGACUUCUCCUUUGACUACAAUAGUCAUGGUCCCUAAACUCCCACUAUCUCUCUUGAAACUUAUUUCAAUUGUGUUAUACACAUCAAACAAUUUGGAGAGCGUGUGGUUAUUGUUCACUAUAUAGUUUACAAUAAACUUAGUGAACCAUUUGGAUAGGGACACAAAGGUGAAGUCCUUGCCUAGUUUCCGUUUCUAGAAGUGGUUUAACACUUCAACACUCAAUGAUUCAAAAACAUCAUAAGUCCAUGUUGAUGGACUAUUUUUGUCAACCAACCAUUAUGUUCUAAACAUAAUUACAAACUUUCAAGAGUUGUUCAAGGCAACUCUCAUUUCUUCAUACAACAAUUUGUAAGUGAAGAAUCAUGGCACAUAAAGUGUCCAUGCCUUUGUGCUUUCUUCUAAAGUUCCUUGUUCAUGUAACAAAGAAACAAGCACUAAUGUUUGCAUUGACUAAGGGUUGUUCAAACCAACUCUUAUUUCUUCAUACAACGAUUUGUAGGUGAAGAAUUAUGACAUUAAAAGUGUUGUCCUCCUUAUGAUAGACUUAUCUAACAUUUUCUUCCAAUGGUACAUUAUCAAUAGGAAGAUUGUGAGGAUGAGACUACUUAGGUACAUAUACAAUCCAUUUAAGACAAUCUUUGGGAUUGUUGUACCAAGUCCGGAAACUAAAGCAUUCGGCUUUUCUUUGUCAAGUUUUGGAUAGCAUUUGCAAAUAUAUAGGUAAACAAAUACAUAACGAAUAUAAAUUGAUUGAUUUUAAGCCAUUUGAUUCGGGUCUUUAAAUCAAAUAGCACCACCCACUAUUUUUGGCAAAUUCCAUAUCCCUCUUUGGAAUUCGAGAGUUUUUGAUGAAACUCUUAGUAGGGUAUGGGAGACUCACCAUUACCAAGCCCACCUCAGAAGAAUAUCAUAUUGGCUAGCAACAAUAAUGAUGAGAGGAUAAUGCUUUAGCCAUUUACAACUUUUGUAAUUACCCAUCUAAUUUGGCCUCUAGAAAAUGAUGCCUCAGAAGAAUAUCAUGUUGGCACCAUUGCACUUAGUUAAGUCAUUCCCACCAUGCUAGUUCAAGUAGGGGUUCAAGAAUGGCCUCAGAAGAAUAUCAUAUUGACCAUACUCGUUGCCUACCUUCACUUCAUCAUAUGUUUAUAGGCUUCUCCUGAAUGUAAGCACAUACUUUGCAUACCCCAGAACUAGACGAAUACGGUGUAUGAGUCACAAACGAUUGAAGCCCACCAUGGUGGAAGGCCUACGAAGAGAUGUUCAAAGCAUCUCUCGCUGAUCAACUUAAUAAUGGUUUGGUUGAGGGUUUUAGGUCUCAUCACAUAUAAAUAUUCAUUUUAAUCUUUAUUAAAACAAUUUUGGUCCUAUUACAACUAUUGGUCCAUUUGAUUGAAUUUAGUUGUAUAUAAUACUCCCACUAUGCUUAUAAAACGGUUUUUAAAGCAAGAGUAUAUGAUACUACUAACAUAAACUUUGCAUUCAUUUGAUGGACUAUAUAGUUGCCUUAGGGCCUUAGGAUGACUAUGAACCUUUGUUUAGAUUCAACACGAGCCUAGUGUUGAAUCUCGGUCUAGGGAUGGUGAUUGAUUUUAGUUACGCGUUUAAUCACAUUAAGGCGUGUUGUCUUAGGGGCAUUGGACCCUCUACUCCAUUUUCAUGCAUAUCAAAUAAUACAAGAAAUGAGUACUUCAAAGUAAAGAUGAGCUUAUGCUGUUUACAACAUUUGAAUAAAACAAAUUACUUUAAAGUAAAGAAGAGCUUAUGCUCUUUUACAACAUUUGAUCAAAUCAAAUUACAACCAAAAUCUAAUCUACACAUUCCCAUGGUUCAAACAAAUUUGAAAUGGCCUUUCACAUAACUCAAUUAUCGUAGGCUUAGGUUCAUAAUCACCCUUUAAUUAAUUAACACUUUAACUAAUUAAAUUGAAUGCAACAUUUUCAUUUGGUUUUUGUAUCCAUAAAAUUGAUUUAAAUGGAGCUAAAUGAAAUGAAAAUCCAAUUCUCAUUUAAAGAGACAAAACCAUUUUGGGGUCACUUUGUAAAAACACAAAAGUCCACUACUUCAUGUAAUUAAUUACAACUAGAACCCAAAAAUUUCAACAAAUUCAAAAACUUCAUUAAAGGAACAAAACAAUUUGUCCUUUAAUGAUUUUGGGCCUUUAGGUAAAUACGUAAACUUUUGGGUCAAACUACAAAUUACACAAAAAUACCAAAACUUUAUGUAAUUGCAUAAAAGCCCCAAAAACACUCCACUUGUAGGGUGGCCGGUUUUGGAGAGAAGGGAGUGGCGUGUGUGUUGAUUUGUAGUUUUAGACAUAAAGCAUGCAAGUGGUGCAUGACAUAAAUGUCAUGCAAGUGGUGUGUGAAAGGGAAUUAAUCCUUACACACCCACCAAUAUUUCUUACACCUUUCUAAAUAAAUUUCUAACACAUUUAAACAUUUGAAAAAUAUAAAACAUAAACUUUAUGAAAUAAAUCAAAACUUUGAAUCAAAACACCAAACUUUUUGUUCUUGGCAAAAAUGUCAAGAACAAUGAAGAACACUCAUGAAAAACUCAAAAAAUUUCCAUGAACAUUUUUCACCCAAAAGCAUCCCAAAACCAUUCAAACUUAAGGGAAAUAACAUAUAACCAAACUAGGGUACAUAGGGGUUCCAAAAGUCACUUGAAAACACUUUUAACAAGUCAAACAAGAACCCAAAAAUCCACCCUUUGGAUUUGGCCGAAAAUUCCCAAAAACAUGGCACCAAAUUUUAGCUCCAAUAUUCAUGCUCAUAUGAACUACAUCUACAACAUUUGAGAUGGCAAAUUUUCCAACAAAAUUUACAUUCAAAGAAACAAGAAUAAAGCUUGUAACAUAUUACAACAUUUAAAUCAAAACUAUGAACUACAAAACCCAAAAGGAUUCACCAACUACUAGACCUAGGCUCUGAUACCACUUGAAGGAAAUUUUGUGAAAAACAUGUUCAUUUAAGCAACAUCUAUAGCAUGCAAAUAACAAUUAAAAGGUGGAAUCAUGCUUGUAUGCACUUAAAAACAAAACAUUAACCAUGAAAUUCAAAGCCUAGUAGAUUGGUGAACCUUGACUCAACUUAAAACAACAUUUGUUAGUUGAGAAAUUAUACCUUUGUAGAUUCCUCUUUGCAUAAGCAAAGGCUAAUCACCCAAAGAGAGGGCCUUCAUUCCUUGCAUCUUAGAUCUAUGGAUUUGGAUGGAUGAAAUGGUUCUCCAAGUUCCCAAAAUUGAGAACCUCUAAGUCUCUUCACCAAGGUUAGAUUGGAGAAGAAAUGAGUGACCUUGGAGUAGUAGGAUUGCUAGCUAAAUCCUCCAAGGAGGCCGGCCACUUUAGAGAGAAAUGAGAGCUUAUGUUCUCAUCCUUUCCCCAAAAGAAAACCCUAAAUGAAUUUUGGCUAUAAAGUCAUAUUUAUACCUUUAUUCAUUGGAGUGGCAAACUUGUAAUUAAGUCCAAAACCCACUCCUUUAACAAAGUGGCCGGCCAUAGGGUUUCAUUGGGCUUUUAAGGCCUUUGUGAAUUAUUUGUAAUUAAGUUGUCAUACAACUUAAGUCAAUGGGCUUGACGUUCGAAGCCCAUUGGGCCUUGAGGCCAAAAACUAACCCGUGGUCUUUUAACGAACUUCAUUCGUUUGAUUAAUUAACAUAUUAAUUAAUCAUUGCCAUAAAUAAUUAAACCAUUUAAUUAUUCUUACUCAUCUCCAUUGUUUCUUCAAUCUAUGCCUUACACGGUGUACGAUCCAUUAGGUUCCUUUUAGCGAGGCAGUGGGCGAUUAAAACUUUUUCAAAUCGAUUGUGAAUUGAAACUUACUUUCAAUUCUCCCUUUAGUGAUUAUACACGUUUAGGGCUUCCACAAACCAUGAGUGACACCUAGCAGUAUGUCAUGGUUACCCAAGCUAAUCAGAAGAGGUGGAGAACCUAUUCAAUUUAGGAUCACAAUGCAAUACGGUCUUUCUCUAAUACAAUACUCUUGAUCACAUUGUUUGGAUUGAUAGUUUAUUCAUGUCUAUUAUCCAAUGUGAUUCGUGUGCUUAUAUGAUUACCUUGAAUGUGAUUUGGAACGACUUCCUAAAUAUCAUUCAUACUCUGGCCAGAGAUUCUUAAUCAUAUCAUAGAGUAUUCUCCUUCAAACGGUUUGAAGGUUAGAGAUCCCUUGUUGCGCAUUUACUUGCCUCUAUGGCUAAGUGGCUUAACCCCAACUAUGCCAUGGACACCCUCUGACGGGGUGACUUUGAAAUAGUCAAAGAUCAAGGACCUAACCACAAGACAACUAUGAUGCCUCAGGUCAAAAGACUACUUUGCAUUAUCCCAACCAUGAGUUCUCAUGUGACAUGAAUAUGAGACUCUUCGUUGAUCGUGUUCAGUGAACUUAUUCUCUACUAAGCACCUACGUACUUGUCUUGAUGUCACACACACCAAUGACUCGAGACUAGUCACUCUCCAUGAGAGAAGACACAACACGUACUGAUCUUAACGGACUGUCAAUGCCCAAUUGGCAAUCCUAUGAUCAGG
Molecule: long non-coding RNA, 8421 nt
Filed under: Malus domestica (apple)
Lineage: Eukaryota; Viridiplantae; Streptophyta; Magnoliopsida; Rosales; Rosaceae
Description: long non-coding RNA (MDOM_LNC006785)
Source: RNAcentral